AGCGAACGCUGGCGGCAGGCUUAACACAUGCAAGUCGAACGGGCAUAGCAAUAUGUCAGUGGCAGACGGGUGCGUAACGCGUGGGAACGUACCUUUUGGUUCGGAACAACACAGGGAAACUUGUGCUAAUACCGGAUAAGCCCUUACGGGGAAAGAUUUAUCGCCGAAAGAUCGGCCCGCGUCUGAUUAGCUAGUUGGUAGGGUAAUGGCCUACCAAGGCGACGAUAAGUAGCUGGUCUGAGAGGAUGAUCAGCCACAUUGGGACUGAGACACGGCCCAAAAUCCUACGGGAGGCAGCAGUGGGGAAUAUUGGACAAUGGGGGAAAGCCUGAUGCAGCCAUGCCGCGUGAGUGAUGAAGGCUGUAGGGUUGUAAAGCUCUUUUGUGCGGGAAGAUAAUGACGGUACCGAAAGAAUAAGCCCCGGCUAACUUCGUG
RNAcentral lists this ribosomal RNA (435 nucleotides) under uncultured bacterium. RNAcentral's name for it is "partial 16S ribosomal RNA". It matches the Rfam family "Bacterial small subunit ribosomal RNA", at positions 29 to 507 of the family's 1533-position model. The record is from RNAcentral.